Long non-coding RNA from Parus major (Great Tit), 261 nucleotides. RefSeq lists it as uncharacterized. The record is from RefSeq and is a predicted model, not a curated record. NCBI's taxonomy places the organism in Eukaryota, Metazoa, Chordata, Aves, Passeriformes, Paridae. The transcript is spliced from 3 exons.
CUGACAAUGGGGAGAACAUCCCUGCAGACACCCAGACACCCAGACAGGUCUGCAGUGAGCUGUUCCUGCUGGCUGACAAUGGGGAGAACAUCCCUGGAGUGACCCAGGGAGGUCUGCAGUGAGCUGUUCCUGCUGGCUGACAAUGGAGAGAACAUCCCUGCAGACACCCAGGGAGGUCUGCAGUGCCCAGCAGCCCUCAGCUACACUGUGAGCAGCAAGGAACCAGAGCAGGUGGGAGCCCCAGCACUCCCUCCCCUCUCU